Molecule: long non-coding RNA, 2242 nt
Organism: Oxyura jamaicensis (ruddy duck)
Lineage: Eukaryota; Metazoa; Chordata; Aves; Anseriformes; Anatidae
Exons: 2
Source: RefSeq, a predicted model, not a curated record
UUCUGCCUGUCACAAUCCUUUGUGUCUUGGAAUGUAUCUUUCCUGAUGGCCGAUGUAUAAUCAACUUCUAGGUUGUUGGAUGGAGAUGGAAAGCAACAGACACAGAAGAGAAGCAAAAGUAAUAUACUUGAUGCCCUCAGUUGUCCUAGAGGAGACAAGUGCUUUUAUGAUCUUCCUUGAUGGAACCAAAAAGACGUUGUUAGCAUGUGGCAUGUAUGCAGUUUUAUAUUAAGAUAUUAAGAAGUGACUUAACAUUAAGAUGUGAAUAGUAGCAUUUUAUUCAUCUUUGCUAUACAGUGAAGUUCUGCCAAUUCUUCCUAAGAUUGUCCUAGCACUAAUGCUUAAUAUAAACAUCCGUUAAACUAUAGCUUGCAACUUUUUUGUGACCUUUCUCUGAAAUAGCAAGCUAAUCAGUACCCCAGCAGUGAAGUGUCAAGGCAGACCGCCAUCCUCUGUUUUAAGGCUGAUAAUGAGUUACCUUUUCUUGAGGUUUACCUAUGAAAUUUCUUCAGGUUUGCUUCAAAGCACUGAACCUGUAUUGUUUAUAUACCUGCUUGGCACUUAGUAUUGAUUCAAUUUAAAGUAGUAAGAUAAAAUUCUUAAAGCAGAACAUACUUUUUAAUAACCUAAAACUUCUGUCUAUUCAACAAAAGAAAUCCAUUUACCAUCAGGCUCCUCAGAAGGCAAUUUUGCUGAUGAAAAGGAAAAUUGAAGUACAACCUACAUUUAAAACACAGCAAACAUGCCUUACUUUUUUUCUUUCCCCAGCAGACAUUAUGCUAGUUACUUGUGGAUGGGAAUGUAUAAUAAUCCACUCUGCCCAGAUCUCUUCUUCUCAGCUUUAUUCAGUGGAAUGCUUUCCCUUUGCAGCUGUUUAUCUUAGCAUAUUUAAAAUACUAGUGAGAGUGUAGUGCUGGUAUCAAACAGAUGUAACAGUGGUAUUGUCUUUAAAUAUCAGAAGCGAGGUUUUCAGCAGAGGUGUUUGAAAGAUGAGCUUGGAAGUAAAAUUAAAACUUUUAAUAGACAUUAUCAAUGGACUGAGUACAGCAUAAAUGUAAAAUAAAUGUUGCAGUCACAAUUUUGUCAUCGCUCCACUUUUAGUUUAUCCGUGGCUAUUUCAGAAGUGGUUUCUUUGCCCUUCCUGUAGGUGUUAAGACCUUCCUGGUUUCUCUCUUAGCUGGUGCCUAUUUGUGCUCUUCACCUGUCUUCUCUCUCAAACUAUGGAACUGAUGCACAUAACAGAAUUCAAAAUAAUUAUUUCCAGCUGUACUUUGUGGUUUGUUGCUUCAGUUUCAACCCCACAAGAAGGGCUGUGUACCUUAAAGCUUAUCUUUCCCUUAGAGACACAGAUACAGUUGAAGUGAAAAAGAUGAUUCCCUUUCCUUCUAAGCCUACAUCUUGACACACUUUGGACUGCUAUACUAUGGGAAACCACAGCCUAAAAAAUAAAGCUUUUGGCGUAGUCUGCAGGGGAUUGGAUACAAAUUCUAUUGUGACAAGGGAAAGCAUUGCCAGAGAGGAAUAAGCACAGUGAGCUUUCAGUAUACCAAGCAGCUGCAAGUAAUGAAGCUAUUGGGUCUGAGACUGUCUGCUUAUUAUGGCUGGGUCUCCAGAGACGUUAUUAGUUUCAAUCAACUGCUGUCACUAAAGGUGGAAACCUUUUUUUGAGUAAGACCUAUACAUCUUUCAGUGUAGUCUUUAAAGGUCAUAAUGCAACUUCUGUUAUUUGCAUGCAUGUAAUAUGUUUUUAGAGGUAUGCAAAUUCAAUAUAUUUGGUUUAUCCAAGCAAGCAUGUUGCAAUAUCCUAUUGUAAUUACAGAACAUUCAUUUUAAAUCUGGAUUCUGAAUUCAAAUGUUAUUUGCGUAGGAUUUUGUUAAAUAAAAACUGGUCUGCCACUCAGGAAGGUGCUAAUCACUCGUACUUUAGUUUUUAUUUACUUUAUAAAUGAAAUGUUAUUACUAAAUAAAUCUGGGACAGGAUGGAGGGACUCAAAAUGAAUCCCAGUAGUAUAAGUAAUUAGAAGAUUUCAGCUUGAAAGGAAACUCAGAAAAAGCUGAACUUGGUGGAGGGUAAGUGGUGGUGGUAUAGGAAGUCAAGUGAAGUCUUAACCACACUGAACUGUCACUGCAUUCCCACAGGUUUGCCUUGUACACGCACAUCUUGUUUAUGUGCAACCACAUUGCAAAUAUAAUUGGGUGUUAUUUUCCCUGAUGUAGAUGGAGAGUUUAAAAACAACAACAA